Molecule: small nucleolar RNA, 118 nt
Organism: Lycium barbarum (goji berry)
Lineage: Eukaryota; Viridiplantae; Streptophyta; Magnoliopsida; Solanales; Solanaceae
Product: small nucleolar RNA snoR100
Exons: 1
Source: RefSeq, a predicted model, not a curated record
AGAUGAAGGAAGCAUGGUUAUGUGCACGGAGAUUGAAUCAUAGAGUCGACUUGUCUGCUCUCUCUGAUACUCUUUUUAAGGGUUAAUGAUUUGAGGGCCUGGUUUUAUACUCACAUUU